CAGACACAGCAUCAUGAAGAUCUGUUAUAUGUGUUAUUGUCUUUUCAUACUGUUCUUGAAUUGCAGUGAUGCCGUUCCGAUGAACGACGAACAGCUUUCGUUUCUGCGACGAUCAACAGUUGAAGAUAGCGACAUUGACAAAAUUACAAUUCCUGUAAAGAGAUGGGGACGCUCGUACGGCUAUCUAUACAAACUCCUUAGGAAGAGUGGCUUCCAAGUAAAAAACAAUUUUUUUUUUUAAGUGAAUUGUUGCAGGCUGUGAUCCUUCAUUUUCCUGAUUUAGAUUAGACCACAAUGAUGAUAUAGAUAAUGUCUAAUUCUUUUUCUUUUUGUUCGUUUCUCCACCUUUUCAAAACCAUACCGUAUCUGUUUACUAGAUAGAGGAUGGUUAAUUUUGAUUUCGUUUCAAUAAUGAAAAAUCUGAAGACCUUCUUUUAGGACAAGCACUAUAGAUUUCAAAAAGCCUGAAUGAAAAAGGCCACCUGUCAUGGUAAAGUUAUAUCUUAUUUUUUUUAAGCUUCUGGGUCUCACCUUAAAUAGUUUACUACAUGAGAGUUAAUUAUGGGUUUGAAUAUUGUCAUCUACAAUAUUGAAGAAAUAUAUAUGUAGGACUCGGAGGUGCGAUGGGGGCGCUGAAGUGCGAUAGUCACGCUAAAGUUCGAUGGUCUACACCGAAGUGAGAUGUUCUACUCGCUGAUGUGCGAUGGUCUGUCUAUAUGACGCAUACGCAUAAUGACUAAUUUAAAACCUACGUAUAUAUAUGUGUAAUUAUUAUGAGAAGUGGAUGUUGUUAUUAGUUAGUAUAUAUAUUUGCAUUGAUUAUUGUCCAUGAAACAUUAUUAGCAUUUCGGUCUAAAUUAUAUGAAUGUGUUUAGUUGAAAUAAAAGAAUCGUCAAAAGAA
Molecule: long non-coding RNA, 901 nt
Organism: Mytilus californianus (California mussel)
Lineage: Eukaryota; Metazoa; Mollusca; Bivalvia; Mytilida; Mytilidae
Exons: 2
Source: RefSeq, a predicted model, not a curated record